GAUGAACGCUGGCGGCGUGCCUAAUACAUGCAAGUCGAGCGAACAGACGAGGAGCUUGCUCCUCUGACGUUAGCGGCGGACGGGUGAGUAACACGUGGAUAACCUACCUAUAAGACUGGGAUAACUUCGGGAAACCGGAGCUAAUACCGGAUAAUAUAUUGAACCGCAUGGUUCAAUAGUGAAAGACGGUUUUGCUGUCACUUAUAGAUGGAUCCGCGCCGCAUUAGCUAGUUGGUAAGGUAACGGCUUACCAAGGCGACGAUGCGUAGCCGACCUGAGAGGGUGUUCGGCCACACUGGAACUAAGACACGGUCCAGACUCCUACUCUACGCACCUGUCCGGCACCUUCCUCAAUGGGCGAAAGUCUGACCGAGCAACGCCCCGUGAGUGCUGAAGGUGUUCGGAUCGUAAAACUCUGUUCUUAGGGAAGAACAACUGUGUAGUUAGCUAUUCUCAUCUUGACGUUACCUAAUCAGAAUGCCACGGCUGACUUCGUG
RNAcentral lists this ribosomal RNA (497 nucleotides) under uncultured bacterium. RNAcentral describes it as "partial 16S ribosomal RNA". It matches the Rfam family "Bacterial small subunit ribosomal RNA", at positions 28 to 507 of the family's 1533-position model. The record is from RNAcentral.